RNAcentral lists this transfer RNA (97 nucleotides) under Pyrenophora teres f. teres. RNAcentral describes it as "tRNA-Val". It matches the Rfam family "tRNA". Rfam says of the family: Transfer RNA (tRNA) molecules are approximately 80 nucleotides in length. RNAcentral also lists the same sequence under 2 other names. The record is from RNAcentral. Lineage: Eukaryota; Fungi; Ascomycota; Dothideomycetes; Pleosporales; Pleosporaceae.
GCGAGCGUAGUCUAGUGGUUAUGAUGUCUGCUUUACAUUAUACAAUGUAUAGCCCCCCAAACGCAGAAGGUCGGGAGUUCGACCCUCCCCGCUCGUA